Molecule: long non-coding RNA, 250 nt
Organism: Calliphora vicina (urban bluebottle blowfly)
Lineage: Eukaryota; Metazoa; Arthropoda; Insecta; Diptera; Calliphoridae
Exons: 2
Source: RefSeq, a predicted model, not a curated record
UCUUACAAAGAACCUUAGAGCCUAAAGUACUUUUGCAAUAUGAAAUUAUUUCAAGUGAUUGUUGCAGUUUCCUGCAUUAUUGCCUUCGCCAUGGCAACUCCAGGCAAUAAUGUAAUUAAAGGAGAUAAUAAUGCUCAGAAUAAACAGAAUAAUGCUGAUGUGGGUGUUCAUUUACUCGGCUAAUUUACAGAUAAUUUAUACUAUUGGUUGAAUGAUAUUAUUAAUAAAUAAAACAAGAUGAAUUACAAAA